CAUCAUGGUGUGGCGUAGCGGGGGAACCGAAAGGUUCGCCGGUUUCUUUCGUGCCGGUCUACCAACCUUGUUACGUCGCACCACCCCG
This 88-nucleotide non-coding RNA is filed under the name Candidatus Regiella insecticola LSR1. The record is from RNAcentral. Lineage: Bacteria; Pseudomonadati; Pseudomonadota; Gammaproteobacteria; Enterobacterales; Enterobacteriaceae.